ACCUGUGAUAAAGGAUUAGGGUAAGACAGACAUAAAAACCAAUGACUUUAUUCACAUUAUGUGAAGCAUCUGAAGGGUAGUCAGACAAUUCAGGGCAUAUAGACAGCACACAAGGUGAUGUCUCUAGACAGUCUCAACAAGCCCAACUUAACUUACUUUAACAACAGGAAUGCACAAAGCUGUUGGUCUCUGCAUUGUGCUAUGCUGACUUCUACCAUAGAUAAAAACCUAGUAUUAGACAGUGAAUUCCAUUGUCACUUACUCCAUUAUCUGCUGCAUGAACAGUCAGCUGAGGACACUAAGAUAUUUGUGAAUAAUUCCUUAACUGAGAGGGGAAAAGUAUGAAUGCUGUAUGUUCUAAGACUACAGAAAAUGAGAAAGAAAUAAAUCAAAAAGCCCUUUUUUCAUGGAGCUCCUGAAAGGUAGAGAUAUUUUAAUUUGAGCUGAGAGCAUCUAGCACCACUUACUAAUCAGAGUCCAGACUCCCUACAGUUACAUCAAUGCUAAAUUUACAACUGCUUGACAAAAGCAAAAAAUUAUAUAAUAGGGAAUAAAAGUUGAAAUAAAAGUUUAUUUCCACUAAGCUUUCCAAACAUCAAAGCAUCUCUUCAUCACCCUCAAGAAGCUACUAAACAACAAAGUGGGAAAGGGUGGAGCAGAAAAAAAGAGCAACAAAAAGAAGCAGCACAAAAUAUGUUUGUGUAAUUUUCUGAAAAGGGCAAGAGAACAACUCAAUCAGAUAUUAAUAAUUGACCCUUAAGUGCUCUGUUUACACAGGACAGAGGGAAACUGACAGUAGGCUUGAGUAACAUUUGCUCUGUACAGAACUUACUCUUGCAGUAUUUGAUGUAAAAUAUUGCAUCUGACCUCAAGGCAAGAUGAAAGCAACUCAACAGUUCUUCUGCAGCAUAUCACACACUUUUUGUUUAAACAUUUACAUAUUCAGGAAUAGCCUUCAAAACCAGUUCUUGCCUCCUAUCCCACUCUCCCCAAACCAACACUUCUACACAGCAAUUGAAAUUUUCCUAAUCAAUUGUUCUGAAACUGAAUUUGGAUAACUGUCACACAGCUAACAUAAGGAAGAAAGAGGAGCAGCCAGAGAGCAGCAAAGAGCAAGCAAGGGCAGCUGCAACAACUGGAAGUUUUAAGCUGUUAGGUCGGUAUCACAAAACCUCCUGCCCAGCCCCACACACUACAAUAAAAUUUACUGCAGCCAUAUGACUUUAUUGCAUCCACUACAUGUUCCUCACAUCAGUGCUUCUGGAGAUUCUGAUUAGCUAAAAGAAAACCAAGUUUUUAAAAUUGCUUCCUGCAGUUCCUACACAAAGAGUAUUCAGGAAUACGAAUAAAGCACUUGGACUGAAAAAAAAUAUAGUGAGCUUUACAGAUGAACAGUGCACAAAUUUGACAACAAAAGUCAAAAGAUAAUUUUGCACAGUUUGGAAGAAUGUAUCCUAUUUGGACUUACCUUUAAGUCACACCUGACUCAAAUUAACAGGCAUGAGCUUGGUGGAGGGUAAGUGCCAUCCCACAGACAUUGUGGUUCCAAUUAAGGCUUGCUUGCAACAGCAGCCUAAUGAGUCUAAUGAGCUACUAUAUCUGACUGAGAUCUACAGCUUACUCUGGAUUUCAUCAAAUGAUCUCACAGAACAAAAGACUGAAAGCACAGCAAGUAAUUUAUCUGUAAUAAAUUUCAGAAGCCUUGAAAAAUUCUAAAGCCAAUUUCUUUCUAGCCAUAGAAUGCCAUCUUCCCACAAAAGAGGUACAGUGAUUAAUUGAUAGUAACAUAGUCAUAAAUUAGAUAAAGAUAUGCCAAGUUACCACUUUUUACAUUCCUCCUCUCACUAUGUUCCCUGGUUUUUAAGUGCCUGAAGAUGUGUAUCCAUUUCAUAGUGCACAUCUAAUCACCAAACAGCAGGUUAUUAUUGCAAUAAAGAAAAUCAGUAUUGGUUUUAUUUACUAUAAAUAUUAAAUGAUUCAAUCAGUUUAAACAGAAGAAGAUCAUAUACAAAACAAUUAGGUUUGGUUAAUAGAAAAGUAUAAAUAUCAAAACCCCAAGCUGGUAGAAUAGGUAAUAUGACUAAACAGCAACCACUUAAUUUAUGAGACUGGAGUACUCCAACAGUUGAAUUCCAGUUUCAAAAUAUCAGUGAUCUUCUUAGAUCUCUGUAAGUCAUUUUAAGACAAACUGUGCACAUAAAAGUACUUAAAAUGAGAUUACUUUUAUAUGUUAUACCUUACUGUAAGGAUCUAUGCCUUAUGUUUUAUUAAGCCUGAAGGGCAUCAGGAACAGAGAGGGAAUUUGCAUUCCCUGUGUGCUUUCUAUAAACCAACAAAAAGUAGCAGUGGCUUGCCUGGAACGUAUUUUUAUAUCUGAAGGAACCAGAGGACAGAGAAAUAUUGAUGGGAUGCAGGAAAAUGAAUGAAUAGAAACAAAAAAGAAUGAGUCAGGUACUGAGUGAUAAAAGCAGAGGAGAGAUGAAGAAAAGCUGGCAUUGGUAUAGAAGGAUACAGGAGCAAGAACAAAUGGUUGGGGACACUGGUCAGAGCUGAGUGGCUUGAGAGAGCAGGUAAGGGAAGAGACAAACAGGAAGGAACAAGGCAGAAUGUAAGCAAAAGGCAAGUGGUCCUCAACUUGUAGGUAAAUUUUCUGCUCCAGAAACCUCUGCCCCUUCUGCCCCCAGACCUCUACAACUUUCAGAGUCUUCAGUUUUUAGUGAACACUUAUAAAAGCUACCAGUAAAACAAAGAUCUAAUCUUUCACAAGGAAAUUACCUAUUACCUUCUUCCUUCUAUUUGUUUUCUAAUAAUUGUCCUCUGUGAACACAAAGGUCUCUACUCUCCUGAGAAUCUUGGAUCAGUUUUGUGUGUGGACAGGUUCCUAGGGCUGCAGACUCAGAAACACGAAGUGCUGCCUCACUGGACUAGAACUGUGUGUGAAUGCCUUUGCACUCAGCCUGAUUGGGAAUGGCAGACUGUCCUGCUGGGAGUCCCCCUUCAGAGAGGUGCCACUGUCACAUGACAGACGUUAUAUAUAGCACUAGAAACACAGAGAAGUUGGAAAUCUCAGAGCAGCAAAAUAGCCAUUUCAUCUGUAGUUUGCACAGUGAAUGCAGAAUGAAGACAGCUCUUAUAUGGGCCUUUUUAUAUGUAUAUAUAUACACGAACACAAAUUUAUAUAAAUCAUAGCCAUUAUUAAAAUUGAGGUACUGGGAUAACACUUAGGAUUACCGUUUCCUCGAACUAUGAAAAGACAAUAAAAAUUGCUCAUGCAUAUUCUUUAUACAUGAAUACUAUACUCCAGCACUGUGCUAUCUUGAGGUAACAGAAUCCUAGCAACAGAACCUUCAGAAGCUUUACUGGAAAACUACCUCAGAACUUUACUGGAACACUACCUGUCUA
Molecule: long non-coding RNA, 3402 nt
Organism: Corvus hawaiiensis (hawaiian crow)
Lineage: Eukaryota; Metazoa; Chordata; Aves; Passeriformes; Corvidae
Exons: 4
Source: RefSeq, a predicted model, not a curated record